AACGCGAAGAACCUUACCCAGGUUUGACAUGCAGAGGACAGUGGCAGAAAUGUCAUCUCCCGAAAGGGUCUCUGCACAGGUGCUGCAUGGCUGUCGUCAGCUCGUGCCGUGAGGUGUUGGGUUAAGUCCCGCAACGAGCGCAACCCUUAUCAUUAGUUGCCAACAUUUCGGAUGGGAACUCUAAUGAGACUGCCUGGGUUAACCAGGAGGAAGGUGAGGAUGACGUCAAGUCAGCAUGGCCCUUAUAUCUGGGGCGACACACGUGCUACAAUGGUCGGUACAGAAGGCAGCAAAGCCGUAAGGUGGAGCAAACCCCUAAGCCGAUCUCAGUUCGGAUUGUAGUCUGCAACUCGACUACAUGAAGUUGGAAUUGCUAGUAAUGGCGUGUCAGCCAUAACGCCGUGAAUACGUUCCCGGGCCUUGUACACACCGGCUAC
Molecule: ribosomal RNA, 437 nt
Filed under: uncultured bacterium
Lineage: Bacteria
Description: bacterial SSU rRNA
Rfam family: Bacterial small subunit ribosomal RNA
Source: RNAcentral